This 433-nucleotide ribosomal RNA is filed under the name uncultured bacterium. RNAcentral's name for it is "partial 16S ribosomal RNA". It matches the Rfam family "Bacterial small subunit ribosomal RNA", at positions 29 to 507 of the family's 1533-position model. The record is from RNAcentral.
AACGAACGCUGGCGGCAUGCCUAACACAUGCAAGUCGAACGAGACCUUCGGGUCUAGUGGCGCACGGGUGCGUAACGCGUGGGAACCUGCCCUUAGGUUCGGAAUAACUCCCCGAAAGGGGUGCUAAUACCGGAUAAUGUCUUCGGACCAAAGAUUUAUCGCCUUUGGAUGGGCCCGCGUUGGAUUAGCUAGUUGGCAGGGUAAAAGCCUACCAAGGCGACGAUCCAUAGCUGGUCUGAGAGGAUGAUCAGCCACACUGGGACUGAGACACGGCCCAGACUCCUACGGGAGGCAGCAGUGGGGAAUAUUGGACAAUGGGCGAAAGCCUGAUCCAGCAAUGCCGCGUGAGUGAUGAAGGCCUUAGGGUUGUAAAGCUCUUUUACCCGGGAUGAUAAUGACAGUACCGGGAGAAUAAGAUCCGGCUAACUCCGUG